Molecule: transfer RNA, 30 nt
Filed under: Cunninghamia lanceolata var. konishii
Lineage: Eukaryota; Viridiplantae; Streptophyta; Pinopsida; Cupressales; Cupressaceae
Also listed under: 7 other names
Description: partial tRNA-Phe
Source: RNAcentral
GCCGGGAUAGCUCAGUUGGUAGAGCAGAGG